AUACGGAGGACGCGAGCGUUAUCCGGAUUCAUUGGGUUUAAAGGGUGCGCAGGCGGCCGUGCAAGUCAGCGGUGAAAGCCCGGGGCUCAACCCCGGAAGUGCCGUUGAUACUGCGUGGCUGGAAUGCGGUCGAGGCGGGCGGAACGGGGCGUGUAGCGGGGAAAUGCGUAGAUAUGCCACAGAACGCCGAUGGCGGAGGCGGCUCGCCAGGCCUGCAUUGACGCUCGGGCACGAAAGCGGGGGGAUCGAACAGGAUUAGAUACCCUGGUAGUCCACGCCGUAAACGAUGGGCGCUCGUCGUCGGCGACAGACAGUCGGCGGCCAAGCGAAAGCGAUAAGCGCCCCACCUGGGGAGUACGCCGGCAACGGUGAAACUCAAAGGAAUUGGCGGGG
Molecule: ribosomal RNA, 393 nt
Filed under: uncultured bacterium
Lineage: Bacteria
Description: partial 16S ribosomal RNA
Rfam family: Bacterial small subunit ribosomal RNA
Source: RNAcentral